RNAcentral lists this ribosomal RNA (363 nucleotides) under Pseudo-nitzschia fraudulenta. RNAcentral describes it as "partial Bacterial large subunit ribosomal RNA". It matches the Rfam family "Bacterial large subunit ribosomal RNA", at positions 178 to 586 of the family's 2925-position model. Lineage: Eukaryota; Bacillariophyta; Bacillariophyceae; Bacillariales; Bacillariaceae. The record is from RNAcentral.
GGCGAACCAGGGGAACUGAAACAUCUAAGUACCCUGAGGAAAAGAAAUCAACCGAGAUUCUCUUAGUAGCGGCGAGCGAACGGGGAUCAGCCUGCAAGUGAUAGCUUGUGUGUUAGUGGAACGGUCUGGAAAGUCCGGCGAUACAGGGUGAUAGCCCCGUACACGAAGCAUGAUAUAUCACAUAUUAAGUAGGACGGGACACGUGUUAUCUUGUCUGAAGAUGGGGGGACCAUCCUCCAAGGCUAAAUACUCCUGGCUGACCGAUAGUGAACCAGUACCGUGAGGGAAAGGUGAAAAGCACCCCGACGAGGGGAGUGAAACAGUACCUGAAACCGAACGCCUACAAUCAGUCGGAGCUUGACU